Molecule: long non-coding RNA, 1637 nt
Filed under: Triticum aestivum (bread wheat)
Lineage: Eukaryota; Viridiplantae; Streptophyta; Magnoliopsida; Poales; Poaceae
Description: long non-coding RNA (TAES_LNC001518)
Source: RNAcentral
AAAUAUCAAUUUUCCAUAAGACAAUAUCUGAACAUGAUUAUCUACAAUGCUCUAGAAAGAUGCUAAUUACAAAUUUCACUUGGAUCACCGCCUAUGGAAAUAUGUCAGUCACGAAAACUCAAAAGGCCUAAGCAAUUGACCUAUACGGCGAAUAACAAGAAAAAAUGGAAAGAACAAAGAUGUCGAAAUAACAGAGGAAGAAAGGGAAAAUGGAAGAUAUGAUGAGUGUCGUGUUGUGUAGAAGGUCAGCUCCACAGGGGCUCUCUACUCAGAUCCUUGUUGACCUAUGGAUACACGGUCUCAAUGCAGCAAAUAUACAUCCAUUUCUAUCAAGCUCCAAUGAAGAAUACUGCAUUCUCAGAUAGAAAAGGCUCAUCAACAGUCUAGGUCGACAAAGCCUAUCAAGAAAUAUCAUACAUCAAUAGCUGGAACUUGAAGAUAAUAAAAACUAAAUUGAUCACUCACAUGUGUCAAAAGAAACAUUUGUGGGUGCCACUUUGAAGUGCAAAUAAAUUGAUUCCAAAAUAGAUCAGAGUUUGAGAGCUGUCCAAGCAUUCUAUUAUGGUACUUAAAAUCAGAAGUACAAAAACAUAGGCUCCCAAAUAAAUACUUAUGAAGAUUGUAGGCAUAUACGGUAAUUUUGAUCAAGAUGUUCUAUGAGAAACGUGGAAAUGAAACUGAUUAACCAUUUAUGAAAACAGGGAGGUUAUGGAACAACCAUAAAAAAAAUUGUCACAUAGAACGAUGCAAGUUCAAACUUGAAGAAGCAACUUCUCUGUGGAACAACAGAAGAAAUAUUAGAACAAAUUUCAUCAAUGCGGACCAUCAAAGCAUCUUUACGUAAUGAUGAUGAAGGAGUUUAAGCUUUGAUAAGACAGAAUAUAACCAAUGGCAUUUUAAAGUAAUUGUAUUUCUGAUCCAUGGGUGACCUAAAGAACAUAUGUGAUACUAGUAACGACAUUAGUUUAAGCUAGAUCCAUAUAGACAGAUUGAAACUCAUUUCAAGUUUGUGUUGCAGGCAUCCUUCUAUGUGAAUCUUUAUAUAGAAAGCAUUUAACAAAAUCCUCUGCUUCUGCCAAAGGACAAUGUUAUUCCUUAGGGUGCCAGAUUCCGCAUAUGCGCAAAGAAGAUGCUGCCACAUUCUCAAAAAAAAAGAUGCUGCCACAAAGGAGGAUAUGUACGGUGACAUAUAUACUCCAGGCAUUAGCUUCUGUGAUAGCAUCUAUGAGGAAAUUCAGGAGCAACAUAAUAAAGUGCUAACAUAAUAAGUACUUCCAACCAUAUUAUUUAGGCUCUAAUAUGCAUAGAGCAUUAAAACGUACGAACAAACAUGCCAUGUCAACAACAUAGAGAACCAAAAAUCGACCAGUACUACUCAUGAACCAAGUUGUACAAGUACACUAAUAAAUCCAUGACAAAUGUAAUUAGCUAAGGAUCUAACAGAAGCUAACAAGCUUAUUGAAGUUACCUAACAGAGGCGCACUGAAAUAGAAACGCCGGCACAAAAGCAAGGCUAUCCCCUUGAUUCGAAACCGAGGAAAGCGUGCGCUCGACCUCCUGGCCUGGGCAAAGCAGAGACACAGUGUCACCCUCAUUUCCCCACCCUCUAUGUGAAUCUUCUAUCACACCGGUGGCAA